GCCUUGCAAGGGCCAGACAUGGGUUGAGCAGAGGCAGAGGCAGGCAGAGCUGACAUAGCCCAUGCCUGUUUCAGAGAUGGUGAAAGCAGAACUAUUCUGCUGAGCCUCUCUUUCUCUUCUUGGGGCUGUCUGUAAGCAGCUGGCUGACUCUAAUAUCCAGGCUUGUGAGAAUCAGCUCUGUUCCUCUCUCUGUCGUGUGUGGGCCAGCUGCAUCCCCACUGGUCCUCAUUUCCCCUGCACUGAGCUCAUUCACUCCCUGGGGAUUAAUUUGACUGUGAAUACUGUGGACUCUGAAGUGUGGGAAAACUGGAGACACAAACAACAGAAGCCUUAAUGCUACAGGGGCAGAGAGUAGCAUCUUUUCCUUGGUUAGCAUCACAUGAGACCUGGCAGGCCGUUUUGUUGCUGGUGACAUUCCGUAAUCAAAGACACUUCUACCCAGUGACUCAGGGAGGCAGCCUGCUGCUGAGCAAAGAGGAGGCAGGUCUGCAAGCUGGAGUUCAGAGAAACUUAGGAUCGUAUGAGGAUGAUCAGUCCAGAGCUCUCAGAAUCAAAGAGAUGUGAUGGCAGAGUGGGGCUGCCAUCUUGGGCCAUGAAGCAACAAGCAUGAAGACAUACAAAGGAUGGUUGAGUGGAAAGAACAAAAAAAGGAUUGAACAGUGAAAGAUCAAGAGGGAAUGAUUCCUUGGGAGCGGCAGUUGACAAAGCAAAUUACAGAAUAUACUCAGUGAGAAUCAGAUGAAACACGGGAGAUAAAAGGCUCCGGACCAAGAGGUCCCAGCGAAGCAUUCAGAGGAGAAAGGCUGCAACCAGGAAGUCCACACACUCACAGCUGCUUCCAGGCCCCGGUGCUCACCCAGUAACAAAGCCACUUCUGUCUGGGAAAACCACAGCAAGGCGAGGCAGGGAGCAGAAAGCCUUUAAUUGGGGUGGCGAACGAGCGGCCCUGUGAACUCCAAAUGCCUCCAGCAGGCUGGGGCACGCUUUUUCUUUCCCUUCCUCUUUGCCCACCCGUUGAUGGCCUCGCUCUCCAGGGCUUCUCAACAGGCAUUGUUGGUCUUUUGGCUUCUCCCCUGCUUCAGGUCCGGAGCCAUCUUUCCGCCUUUUUGCUAUUCCGCCCUGAGCAUGCUACGGGCCAGUGUCCUGGGUUCUCAGUUUACCCUCUCUCCAUCAAGAUGUUCCUAUCCGGGUUCCACCUCCUCAGACCUUGCCAGGUGACUGGGCAUCUAAUCUAAUAAUCCAGUAACAAAAUCAGUGGUAACUAAAGGCUGAUAGCCAAAUAUGUUAAUGCUUUCUAUUAACAUUUCCAGAUUAAUAGUGACUUUUGGAGCUUCAACUCAGAGGAAUUACUUAUCUGGGAAAGUUGGGCAGUCGGUGUCCAGAGAUUAGGGACUUUUGGGUUGGACAAUCCCUGGUUCCCCUGAAAUUGCUCCAUGAAAGAACCUUCUGAGCAUAAUUGAGCCAGCCUCAGUGUCCCCAGUUUUUUGGUAUUGAUCCAACCCCACGGUGAUCUCAUCUCCCUCCACAUUGAAAGAAUCCAAUCUAUUCUGCACUAUUUUGUGCUUGUUUGUUGAAAAUGAGUCUGAAUGAAUUUUAGAUUUAAAAUGAAGGCACGCUACUAAUGGAGAAUCAAAUGGAGAUAUAGAAGUAGUACAACAGUGAAGAAAACAAGAGACUGGAAGAAGGGAAUCUGUUUGUGAGAUGCCCAGAGUUCAAGUUCAAUCUGGCCAUGUAACUGAAUUCCCUGAAAACAGGCUGUCUGUGGAAGAAUGUAAUCAGUGAUCUUAGACUAGUUAUCAUUUAUUUCAAUCAACUUAGGAAAACUCUAACUGAUGGAGAACCAGAAAUCAAAUCUUAGAAGAUUAUAUUAGUCACUAUUGAUAUGGUCACCUGUGCCUGAAAACAAAUUGAUUCAUGGUGCCAAGCAAGGCCUUUACAAGAUAAGACAAGAGCUGGAUUCACUGUCUCAGUUCCUGAAAGAGAACAGAGACCAACUAGGAUCAAUACAUUCCUGAGCCUGGAAAAAGAGAGAUUGUCACAUGCUAUAAUUCAGGGGAAAAAUUAAUCUGGACGUUUCUAUCUCCCUUAGCUACCUUUUCUGUACUCUUGUUUUGUCUGGAUUCGUGCCAGAUUCAGGACAUUUGUGUCAGUGAUGUCUUGUGGUUUAAAAAAAGCAAUUAUUGGAUCAAGUCAGAAGAUCUGGAUGAGAGGUCUUGGUUAAUUACACAGUCUCUCUCAGUUUUCUGGUCUGGAUUGGAUCAGCUGAUCUAUAAGAAACCUGCUAGAGCCAUGGUUUUGUGUUUCUAAGUUGUUCUGAGACACAAAUCCCAAACUAUGUAAAACUCGCUUAAAAUCUGAACUACAUUCCAAGAACAAGAUUUGAAAUGCUAUCAUUUUCUUUCUUCUUCAUCAAAUAAAGAAGAAUGUGGAACAAUA
This is a non-coding RNA of Macaca mulatta (Rhesus monkey), 2436 nucleotides long. NCBI's taxonomy places the organism in Eukaryota, Metazoa, Chordata, Mammalia, Primates, Cercopithecidae. The record is from RefSeq and is a predicted model, not a curated record.